Cucumis melo (muskmelon) is the source of this 3193-nucleotide RNA transcript. It is a transcript of the gene named pentatricopeptide repeat-containing protein At4g38010, with no coding region annotated. The transcript is spliced from 4 exons. NCBI's taxonomy places the organism in Eukaryota, Viridiplantae, Streptophyta, Magnoliopsida, Cucurbitales, Cucurbitaceae. The record is from RefSeq and is a predicted model, not a curated record.
GAUAUUAUAUCCUAGAAUGACCAUAUCAUCAUAAUUAUUGAUACUAAAAAAAGUAUGAACUUAGCCAGAUUCCUCUUCUUGACAUAAGAGAUAGAGUGCGCUUUUUUGUAUGGUUGCUUUCACUAAGGACAAAUCAAAAAGAAUCAAAAUAUCACCUCUUGAAUUGCUCUAUAACUACUUCUAGCCUCACGCACUACCUGCAGCUAUGGCCUCCGAUGGCAGCCUUGGUGUUUCGGUUUCCACAUCUCCUAAACAUGCAAACAGAGAUGCUGAGACCAUGAGGUCGAGUUCGCCAAAAGGCCAGUGUUUGUGCUCGCCCACGAUGCAUCAAGGCUCCUUUAGAUGUCGGCUUCAUCGUUCGACAUCAUCGGCAUGGAUGAAACGUUCAAAAUCAAUGCCUGCCAACAACCCUGUGGCUUCUCUUUCUCCCAAAGGAUCUCUUGGGUCUUCUUGAGGCCAUGGAGCAUGUGGAUAAAGCUGAAUACAUCUUUGUAAAUCAGAAAGUAGUUCGUUCAGGAAGGUGGGGAUUUUCAGCAUCUAUAUGUGGAAAGAAAGAUAUCCUGUGGACGGGAAAAGGUAAAAUAGAAGCAUGGCCUACCCUUGUAAUAUUAUUAGUGGGUUUGGGAUUUGUGUUUAGAUUAUCUCAUAGUCUUUGUUACUUGUCAACCUCCUUGUCUUCAAUUAUUGCAGCUCUUUACAAACUUUUGUUCAAACCCAAAUUCUUGUCUUGCUUUUUGUCUGUAAUUUUACCUUCCAUCUUGAUUUUGGUUUGAUUUAUUUUCCUUCAAAUUUAGACCCCAAAAUUAUGUCUAAUGCCUGCCCCCUAAUAAUAAUAAAGAACAAAAACAACACGAUGGUUGAUCAUUUAUUGCUUUGUACCAAAUUUAUCAAUGUUAGUGUUGUUUUUUUAAAUUAUUUUUGGUUUACGAUGUUUGCGAUUAACAUCUAUUUGAUCCUUGAAGUUUCAAAUGAAGAACCACUUUAAUCUCUCAAGUUUUGGAAUUUCUCCUAGAUUGUCGUUGAAUUAAUUUAGUCGUUAGUUGAUAGAUGGAAAAAUGAUGUGACAUAAUGAGUCAAUAAAUUUCUUGUUUUCUUUUUUCUGAGGAUCUUCUCUCCCCAUAACACGAGUAACGCGACAAAGAGCCUGCCCAUAGGGUUGAAUUGUUAAGUUCAUGGUCAUAAUCAUAAAAAUAGUUUUAAAGACUAUAGACUAUACUUGUAAUUUAGCUUGCAUAAAGGAUCUUUUUGACUUGUACCUUUGUGCUUUGUGUUUUAUAAUUAAGUUUUAAAAUAAUUCAAUUUUUUGUGUGUGCACGUGAGAAAAAACAAUCGGUGAUGUUUAUUCAUUCGAGAUGUUAGGGUCAACGAUUCAUUUACAAGCCAUAGUUAAUGAAAUGUUAGAUUUCUCAUUUUAUUCAAUAUUUUUUUUGAUGUUUCUAUGUUUUCGUAGGUUCGAUGUGAACAUGAAAAAUGAAUUGAUAUUUAAGAAAAAAGUCCACAUAAUUUAAAUAAGAAAUAUAACUCAACUCCAUUUACCACAGAUGUGCAAAAUAUUUAAAUGGAUAAAUUUAUAGACAACAUAUUUUUGUUUUAUUUUUCAAUGUAUUUUAAAGAAUAAUGACAUUUCAACCACCACUCGAUUUAGUAAGAUUUCAUUUAUUUGAGUGAACUUAUCUGAUGAACUAUGUUAUUAUAGAGGAAUAAGGUCCAAACAAAACUCUACAAAAAGAUCUAAUUGAUUUCUUGCAUGUUUUGUUUGAAAGUGAUUUUAAAAUUGUUAAAAUCACGUGUCGUUUAAUAAAUUCAAAAACAUAUUUUAAAUUACUUAGUAUAUUUUAAAGUACGUUGUUCAUCUCAUCGUAACUAAUUUAAAAUUAUUAGGAAAGUAUACUCUUAAGUGGUUUUAAUAACUUGAAAGUCAAUGUUCUAACUCCCACACUAAAAUAAAUAGUAAUUAUUGAUAUCAAAUUUUGACCAAACAAAUGUGCAUGUUAAUUUACGGUUAUAACAAUAAGUGCGUAUUUUAAAAAAAAGACGACUUGCCUACAAGCAAAGAGAAACGUGUACGUCCUUAUAAUAUAAGUGACAAUCUAAUGCAAGUCAUAACGUUAGAAAACAUCGAAAAUAUUUAGAUAUUUCAUAAAAUACUCACUUGACUAUAUUUAUGUUAUGUUUUGCCAUAUUUACAGAUUCUAUCACUCUCAUAUUUCUUGUCUGAUCAUAUUUUUCUUAGAUCAAGGUCAGUCGAUCUAACAUUCAUAUAUAAUACCUUUCAAACUAAGUUUAUAUUUAGCUCGUCAAUCAUGACCCAUCAUUGAUGGAUUCGUUCCAACCUAGUCGAAGCCGACCAUACCCAUCUUUUUCUCGAUUCCACUAUUUUCUUCUUCCCUUAUUAUUUGCAAACCCUUUUAUCUUUGAUUUUAGAAUCCAUCAACAACAAUAACAAAAACAUUUGUCGUUUUUUUCUCCAUUUCUAGAGUCUGCUUCGUUGAAAAGAAAAUUGCAAUCACGUUGAAAAACAAACAAUAACUAAAAGCCAAUGAACAAAAUAAAAAACAAAACUAAGAAACGGAACUUCAAGGCCACGACAUAGCCUUCCAACUGGGCCUCCGUCUGCUUCCAUCUCCCGUCGCUUUCGUAUGCGUGUCCGAGUCAACGAGCCGCCAACUCAGUCAAACUCGCGUUUUUUGACUCGUCCAAAAUCCACCCCUCAAUUUCCCAGAAAAUUCAGAUUCACCCCAAUUCCUUUCCCCAUAUAAAUACCCUAAUCUUCAAAUCCCCCAUUCCAAACUUCAACUUCGAUUUCAAUAGAGGAGAAAUAUUUUUUUUUCUAAAUUUUCGGCAAUUUUUCUAGUCGAUUCACAAAACAUGAGUUCGUUGAAGCUCACUGCCGUUCCGUUCGUCGGAUUCUUGUUCUUGAUUAUUCUUCAAUUGGCUCACGGCCACUCCCACGAUAUUUCACCGGCGGAAGGUCCUUCUAACGACGGAGCUGCAAUUGACCAAGGGAUUGCGUACGUUCUUCUUCUGCUUGCUCUCGCCAUUACCUACAUCAUCCAUUGACAACUUUUGUAUUAAUCAAAUGAUUUUGGGUUCGAUAUGUAGUAUUUUUUUUUUUUUUGUAGUUUUUUCUCCCUUGAUUGGUGAAGAAAUUGCGUUGGAAAUUUGAAAUUCAUUAUUCUUUUUUUUUUCCUUA